RNAcentral lists this ribosomal RNA (444 nucleotides) under uncultured bacterium. Its description in RNAcentral is "partial 16S ribosomal RNA". It matches the Rfam family "Bacterial small subunit ribosomal RNA", at positions 338 to 795 of the family's 1533-position model. The record is from RNAcentral.
CCUACGGGAGGCAGCAGUGGGGAAUAUUGGGCAAUGGACGAAACUCUGAUCCAGCAAUGCCGCGUGAAUGAAGACGGUCUUCGGAUUGUAAAGUUCUUUUGUCAGGGAAGAAUAAAAUUACGGUACCUGAAGAAUAAGCUCCGCCUAACUACGUGCAAGCAGCCGCGGUAUUACGUAGGGAGCAAGCGUUGUUCGGAAUGACUGGGCGUAAAGGGUGCGUAGGUGGUUAUACAAGUUAGAAGUGAAAUACCCAGGGCUUAACUCGGGUGCUGCUUCUAAAACUGUAAGACUUGAGUGCAGUAGAGGUGAGUGGAAUUCCUGGUGUAGCGGUGGAAUGCGGAGAUAUUAGGAGGAACACCAGAGGCGAAGGCGGCUAACUGGACUGCAACUGACGCUGAGGCACGAAAGUGUGGGGAGCAAACAGGAUUAGAUACCCGGGUAGUC